Molecule: ribosomal RNA, 253 nt
Filed under: uncultured Eubacteriales bacterium
Lineage: Bacteria; Bacillati; Bacillota; Clostridia; Eubacteriales
Description: uncultured Clostridiales bacterium partial 16S ribosomal RNA
Rfam family: Bacterial small subunit ribosomal RNA
Source: RNAcentral
UACGUAGGGGGCAAGCGUUAUCCGGAUUUACCGGGUGUAAAGGGAGCGUAGACGGCACUGCAAGUCCGGAGUGAAAGCCCAAGGCUUAACCAUGGGACUGCUCUGGAAACUGUGGAGCUUGAGUGCGGGAGGGGCAGGCGGAAUUCCUAGUGUAGCGGUGAAAUGCGUAGAUAUUGGGAGGAACACCAGUGGCGAAGGCGGCCUGCUGGACAUUAACUGACGCUGAGGCGCGAAAGCGUGGGGAGCAAACAGG